UACGUAGGGUGCAAGCGUUGUCCGGAUUUAUUGGGUUUAAAGGGUGCGUAGGCGGCCCUAUAAGUCAGUGGUGAAAUCCUGCCGCUUAACGGUAGAUGUGCCAUUGAUACUGUAGGGCUUGAGUAUAGACGAGGUAGGCGGAAUUUAUGGUGUAGCGGUGAAAUGCAUAGAUACCAUAAAGAACACCGAUAGAGAAGUCAGCUUACUAGGCUAUAACUGACGCUGAGGCACGAAAGCGUGGGGAUCGAACAGG
Molecule: ribosomal RNA, 253 nt
Filed under: uncultured bacterium
Lineage: Bacteria
Description: partial 16S ribosomal RNA
Rfam family: Bacterial small subunit ribosomal RNA
Source: RNAcentral